UGAGGAAUAUUGCACAAUGGGCGAAAGCCUGAUGCAGCGACACCGCGUGGAGGAUGAAGGUUUUCGGAUCGUAAACUCCUGUUAAGAGGGAAGAAAUAAGCGCAAUUAAUACCUGCGCAAGAUGACGGUACCUCUAAAGAAAGCACCGGCUAACUUCGUGCCAGCAGCCGCGGUAAUACGAGGGGUGCAAGCGUUAUUCGGAAUUACUGGGCGUAAAGGGUGUGUAGGCGGCUUGUCAAGUCUACUGUUAAAGAUCUCGGCUUAACCGAGAAGGUGCGGUGGAAACUGGCUGGCUAGAGGAUGGAAGAGAGAAGUGGAAUUCUUGGAGUAGCGGUAAUAUGCGUAGAUCUCAAGAGGAACACCGAUGGCGAAGGCAGCUUCUUGGUCCAUAUCUGACGCUGAGACACGAAAGCGUGGGUAGCAAACAGGAUUAGAC
RNAcentral lists this ribosomal RNA (436 nucleotides) under uncultured bacterium. RNAcentral describes it as "bacterial SSU rRNA". It matches the Rfam family "Bacterial small subunit ribosomal RNA", at positions 355 to 783 of the family's 1533-position model. The record is from RNAcentral.